AUUUAAGUAGCUUAUAUUAGAGUAUAACAUUGAAGCUGUUACGGAGAUUUAAAAUCCUUAAAUA
Molecule: transfer RNA, 64 nt
Filed under: Allognosta vagans
Lineage: Eukaryota; Metazoa; Arthropoda; Insecta; Diptera; Stratiomyidae
Description: tRNA-Phe
Source: RNAcentral